Molecule: ribosomal RNA, 211 nt
Filed under: Anaplasma sp. Ree1f
Lineage: Bacteria; Pseudomonadati; Pseudomonadota; Alphaproteobacteria; Rickettsiales; Anaplasmataceae
Description: partial 16S ribosomal RNA
Rfam family: Bacterial small subunit ribosomal RNA
Source: RNAcentral
UGAGAGGAUGAUCAGCCACACUGGAACUGAGACACGGUCCAGACUCCUACGGGAGGCAGCAGUGGGGAAUAUUGGACAAUGGGCGCAAGCCUGAUCCAGCUAUGCCGCGUGAGUGAGGAAGGCCUUAGGGUUGUAAAACUCUUUCAGUGGGGAAGAUAAUGACGGUACCCACAGAAGAAGUCCCGGCAAACUCGGGAUCCCGACCAUGGAA